RNAcentral lists this ribosomal RNA (301 nucleotides) under uncultured bacterium. Its description in RNAcentral is "partial 16S ribosomal RNA". It matches the Rfam family "Bacterial small subunit ribosomal RNA", at positions 509 to 809 of the family's 1533-position model. The record is from RNAcentral.
CAGCCGCCGCGGGAAUACGGAGGGUGCAAGCGUUAAUCGGAAUUACUGGGCGUAAAGCGCACGCAGGCGGUCUGUCAAGUCAGAUGUGAAAUCCCCGGGCUUAACCUGGGAACUGCAUUUGAAACUGGCAGGCUAGAGUCUUGUAGAGGGGGGUAGAAUUCCAGGUGUAGCGGUGAAAUGCGUAGAGAUCUGGAGGAAUACCGGUGGCGAAGGCGGCCCCCUGGACAAAGACUGACGCUCAGGUGCGAAAGCGUGGGGAGCUAACAGGAUUAGAUACCCCAGUAGUCCCUGUCUCUUAUAU